Long non-coding RNA from Pogoniulus pusillus (Red-fronted tinkerbird), 234 nucleotides. RefSeq lists it as uncharacterized. The transcript has 3 exons. The record is from RefSeq and is a predicted model, not a curated record. NCBI's taxonomy places the organism in Eukaryota, Metazoa, Chordata, Aves, Piciformes, Lybiidae.
GGGAUCCUGGCUUCAGCUGAAGGGUGCAAGUGAUAAGGUAUAAGAUGCCACAGUCUUUACACAGAUAGGCUAUCAGACGUUGCCUUGCCAUGAUAAGGCUCAACAGACAUAGUUCCAGACCAAGCAAGCAGAAUGAAACUGGGGCCACCUGUGCAUGAGCUGUCAGGAAACGUCGUGCUUUCAUUUGAACAGCAGGCAGCUAUCAAAACAGCAAUAAGAGAGGCUAUCAGGCUU